This 454-nucleotide ribosomal RNA is filed under the name uncultured bacterium. Its description in RNAcentral is "bacterial SSU rRNA". It matches the Rfam family "Bacterial small subunit ribosomal RNA", at positions 923 to 1379 of the family's 1533-position model. The record is from RNAcentral.
GCACAAGCGGUGGAGCAUGUGGUUCAAUUCGACGCAACGCGAAGAACCUUACCUGGGCUCGAAAUGUAGUGGACCGGGGUGGAAACAUCCCUUUUCGCAAGAACUGCUAUAUAGGUGCUGCAUGGCUGUCGUCAGCUCGUGUCGUGAGAUGUUGGGUUAAGUCCCGCAACGAGCGCAACCCUUAUUGCCAGUUGCCAUCAUUCAGUUGGGCACUCUGGCGAAACCGCCCCGGAUAACGGGGAGGAAGGUGGGGAUGACGUCAAGUCCUCAUGGCCUUUAUGUCCAGGGCUACACACGUGCUACAAUGGUCGGUACAAACCGUCGCAAACCUGCGAAGGGGGGCUAAUCGGAAAAAGCCGACCUCAGUUCGGAUUGGAGUCUGCAACUCGACUCCAUGAAGCUGGAAUCGCUAGUAAUCGCGGAUCAGAACGCCGCGGUGAAUACGUUCCCGGGC